UAUUAUUUUUAUUAUUAUUAUUAUAAUAUCAUAUUAAUUAGCUUAAUUAUUACACUAAUAUAAUAAACCUCAACCCUCAUCAGCUUCUUCCAAUUCUUAAGGAGGAAUCAACUCCUUUACCAACUCCUGCAAAGAGCUUGGCAAUCUCCAAUUGAGUAUUGGCUAUGAUCUCCGUUCUUUUUAGGUCCAUUUCGCCUCUCUUGGCCUCGGCUUCUAUUCUCAUUUUUUCUAGUUCUCUCAUUGUAUCCAUUCUUGCUUGUUCUGAUCUUACCACUACUUCUGCUAGCCACCUGAUGCUAUCUGCUAUCUCCCUUUCUUCCCUUCUUCUUUUCUUCUUUCUGUCCAUUUUCAUCUUCAGUUUUUUGGACCUUAAUUUCUCCUUUUCGCUAUACAAAGCUGGAGUGCUACUAUCUGUUUCCAUGGCAUUCUUAUCUGAGACAUGGUCUGAUAAUUUUGUACCAACACCAUCUUCCUUGGCCCCCCUAUCAACACCAUUGGACCCAUGUGAGUUUUGUGCAGUCCCAAUAGCUGGAGGUGGAGGAGGAGGCGGAGGAGCCAGAGGCUGUGGAGGUGGCUGUGGCAACACAUGGGAUGUCUCCAACAACAUCAAAGGAGGAGAAUGGUUGGAUGCUUGAAGAGUUGG
RNAcentral lists this unclassified non-coding RNA (643 nucleotides) under Hevea brasiliensis (rubber tree). The record is from RNAcentral. Lineage: Eukaryota; Viridiplantae; Streptophyta; Magnoliopsida; Malpighiales; Euphorbiaceae.